This 476-nucleotide ribosomal RNA is filed under the name Globigerinella siphonifera. RNAcentral describes it as "SSU rRNA". It matches the Rfam family "Eukaryotic small subunit ribosomal RNA", at positions 1229 to 1470 of the family's 1831-position model. The record is from RNAcentral. Lineage: Eukaryota; Foraminifera; Rotaliida; Globigerinidae.
GUCUUUCCCUCCCUUCGGGGUGGGAUUACAAAAGAUAACAGAUCUUUCAUGAUCAUGUGAUGGGUGGUGCAUGGCCGUUCUUAGUUCGUGGAGUGAUCUGUCUGCUUAAUUGCGUUUCAAAUUUUAUAUUUGUUAACAUGCGAGUCUUCAAUGACGGCCACUCCACCUUAUAGACAUUAUAUGAUAUGCACAUUUGUGUAUUUGAUUAUAACUUGUCUGGAGUCUGGCUCGAUUUUUUUGACUCAAUUGAACGCAACGGACGUGAUUGCAAGUCCUUGUUGAACAAAUUAUAUAUAUACUACUUCAUCAUUAGUAUAUAUAGUUCGCUUCUCAUGUCGUAGCAGUCAAACGGGCGGGCGUCUUAAUUGGCGCGGUCACGAGGCUUAAUAUGCUGCGGCUGGGAAAACUUGGGCGACCGCUGUAAUACUUCUCUCUUAAACCAGAGGAAGAUUGCGGCAAUAACAGGUCUGUGAUGC